This 371-nucleotide non-coding RNA is filed under the name Pongo abelii (Sumatran orangutan). Lineage: Eukaryota; Metazoa; Chordata; Mammalia; Primates; Hominidae. The record is from RNAcentral.
CACACCUUGAUCCUACCUCACGCGCUACAAAAAAUUAGUCAAAGUAGAUCACAGACCUACAUAAAAAACAAUAAAGAAUCUAGAAGGAAACAUAGGAGAAAAGAUUCAUUUUCUUGGUCCAGGCAAAUAAUUCUUAAACAGGUGUCAGAUCUCAAGUUGAUCUUUAUGCUCAUUAAAGAUUAAGCAGUAAUCUUGUUUUUUUUUUUUUUUGACACGGAGUCUCACUCUGUUGCCCAGGCUGGAGUGCAGUGGCAUGAUCAUUGUUCACUGCAGCCUCAAACUCCUGAGUAGCUGGGACCACAGGUAUGCACCAUCACACCCAGCUACAACAUUCGGUUUUGAGCAAAUAUUGAUCAAUGAGUCCAACAGUC